This is a long non-coding RNA of Rana temporaria (common frog), 416 nucleotides long. RefSeq lists it as uncharacterized. NCBI's taxonomy places the organism in Eukaryota, Metazoa, Chordata, Amphibia, Anura, Ranidae. The transcript has 3 exons. The record is from RefSeq and is a predicted model, not a curated record.
UGUUUCAUCUCAACAGGCCUGUACAAAAGCCCCAUACAAAGGCUGCUACAGAAAGGGUUUCUCUAUGUAAGCCCCUCCACAUUGCUGUUAUACUGCCAUCUGUUGUCCCAGUGUGCUCAGGACUUCAUAAAAAUAGUCCGAGUAUUAACUCUUCCUGUGGUACAUAUCUUCCACCUUUUGGACUUGCAGUCUUGACUCUUUCGACUCACCUAAGAUUUUCGAUAUAUGGAAACUUGUGCCUAAAGCUUACCUUCCGACUUGGUAUAUUUCCAUCUUAUAUGCCCCGUGGACGCACCCAUCGAGGGACCACCAGCCAUGUAAAUACACACUAUGACACUUUUAUGCAUUGCAUUUUAUUUUAAUUCUAUAUUUUGAUUAAUAUUUUUGUUUGACUAAUAUGCCACACUGUAUCAUUG